GAUGAACGCUGGCGGCGUGCCUAAUACAUGCAAGUCGAGCGAACAGACGAGGAGCUUGCUCCUCUGACGUUAGCGGCGGACGGGCGAGUAACACGUGCAUAACCUACCUAUAAGACUGGGAUAAUUUCGGGAAACAGCUGCUAAUACCGGAUAAUAUAUUCAACCGCAUGGAUCAAUAGUGAAAGACGGCUUUGCUGUCACUUAUAGCUGGAUCCGCGCUGCCUUAGCUAGUUGGUAAGGUAACGGCUCACCAAGGCGACGAUGCGUAGCUGACCUGAGAGGAGGAUCAGGGACACUGGAACUGAGACACGGUCCAGGAUCCGACGGGAGGCAGCAGUGGGGAAUAUGGGACAAAGGGCGAAAGCCUGAUACAGCAAUACCGCGUGGGUGAAGAAGGCCUUCGGGUUGUAAAGCCCUUUUGUUGGGAAAGAAAAGCAGCAGGUGAAUACACCGCUGUUCUGACGGUACCGAAAGAAUAAGAACCGGCUAACUUCGUG
RNAcentral lists this ribosomal RNA (497 nucleotides) under uncultured bacterium. RNAcentral's name for it is "partial 16S ribosomal RNA". It matches the Rfam family "Bacterial small subunit ribosomal RNA", at positions 28 to 507 of the family's 1533-position model. The record is from RNAcentral.